RNAcentral lists this ribosomal RNA (460 nucleotides) under uncultured bacterium. Its description in RNAcentral is "partial 16S ribosomal RNA". It matches the Rfam family "Bacterial small subunit ribosomal RNA", at positions 338 to 795 of the family's 1533-position model. The record is from RNAcentral.
CCUACGGGGGGCAGCAGUGAGGAAUAUUGGUCAAUGGACGAGAGUCUGCACCAGCCAAGUAGCGUGAAGGAUGACUGCCCUAUGGGUUGUAAACUUCUUUUAUAAAGGAGUAAAACGAGGCACGUGUGCCUUUUUGCAUGUACUUUAUGAAUAAGGACCGGCUACUUCCGUGCCAGCCGCCGCGGUAAUACGGAAGGUCCAGGCGUUAUCCGGAUUUAUUGGGUUUAAAGGGAGCGUAGGCCGUUCUUUAAGCGUGCCGUGAAAUUUUGUGGCUCAACCAUGAGAGUGCGGCGCGAACUGGAGACCUUGAGUGCGCGGAAGGCAGGCGGAAUUCGUGGUGUAGCGGUGAAAUGCUUAGAUAGCACGAAGAACCCCGAUUGCGAAGGCAGCCUGCCGCGGCGUUACUGACGCUGAGGCUCGAAAGCGCGGGUAUCGAACAGGAUUAGAUACCCCAGUAGUC